UUUUUUUUUUUUUUUUUUUUUUUUUUAAGGUAAGUCAAAUAUUCCAUUUUAUAUUAUUUCCUGUGUGGUUCUUUGAUGAAUCUCUGACAUCAUCUCCUGAAUUAGUAGAAGUCAAGCAACAUUAAUGCUUUGCUUUUAUCUGAGAAGGCUACUAGCUGCCAUAAAUAAAAGUGGACUCUUGCUGAGUUAAGCAAAAUGAGAUUUAUUAAAAGGAUGUUGGACAGCUCAUCGUGGUACUAGGAGGGCUAGAGAACUAGGCCUGGGACUAAGCAGCUGGGAAACAUCAUGCCUCAAGCCUGUUUCUGGCAGAGAAACACUUAUUGGGUGUGUGGAGGAGAAGUUUUAUCUCACGUUCAGUGUCAUCAGAUCCCAAAUUCUAAACAAACUAAAGUGUAUGUGAUUGAUCAUGUGCCCCUGUCCUAGCAUCAAGGGAGGUUGCAAAAGUGAACUGUUUUAAUUCUUAUAGUGAGAAAGAGACUCUUCUCCUUACCAUGACUCACAAGAAGCUCAGAUUUCAAGUACCAGGUAAAUGAGAAAUGAUCACUACAGUGAUAUUUGGAGGAAAAUCAAGGAGAAGUAGCCAUACCCUAUAUUUGGGCUAAUAGCUAGACACUGAUGAAGAAUCAACUGCAAAAUAUAUAGGUGAACUAACAAACCUAAUCCAGCUACACGUAAAAAAAAUCACAGACCAUAACCAGAUGAGAUUUAUCCCAGAAAUAUAAAGUAGUUAAUAUCAGAACAAUUGAUUAAUGCAAUACGCCAUAAUCACAAGAACAAAGACAAAAAUGGCAUUAUUGCCUCAAAAGAUGCCCAAAGAAAGGAUCCAACACCCCUUCGUGAUUAAAAACUAAGACUAGAAAGAAACUUCCUCAACUUGAUGAAGGACGUCUAUGAAACUCCACAGUUAACAGCACACUUGAUGAUGGAAGACUUAAUGCUUUCCCCCUAAGAUUAAGAAAAAGAAAGGAUGUCUGUUCUCAUCACUUUUUAUUCAAUAUUGUUCUAGAGAUUCAAGCAAGGGCAACUAGGCAAGAAGAAAUAAAAUGUAUCCAGAUUGGAAAGGGAGAAGUAAAACUUUCCAUUUGCAGAUGACAUAAUCUUGUAUACAGAAAAUCCUCAGGAACCAACUAAAAAACUGCUAGAACUAGCAAAUGUUUUAAGCUAGGUUGCAGGAUAUAAGAUCAAUACACAAAAAAUUAUAUUUCCAUAUACUUGCAAUGAACAACUUGAAAUGAAAUGAAGAAAACAAUUCCAUUUGCAAUAGCAUCAAAAAGAAUAAAACAGAAAUAAAUUUAACCAAAAACCCCACAAUACUUAUACAUUGGAAGAUACAAAACAUUAUUGAAAGAAAUGAAAGACCUAAAUAAAUGGAAAAGUGUCCCAUGUGUUAGAUCAGAAGACUUAAUAUUGUUAAGAUGGCAACACUCCCCAAAUUGAUCUACAGAUUCAACCUGGUCACUAAUCAAAAUUCCAUCUGCCUUUUUUUUUUUUUUUUUUUUUUUUUUGCAGAAACUGACAAGCUGAUUUUAAAAUUCAUAAGAAAAUUCAAGGGAUUCAGAAUGGCUAAAACAAUCUUGAAAAAAGAAGAACAAAGUUGAAGGACCCAUACUUCCUAAUUUCUAAACUUACUACAAAGCUACAGUAAUCAAGAUGUAAGGUCACCUGGCACAAGAGUAGACAUAUAGAUCAAUGGACUAGAAUGAGAGUCUAAAAAUAAACCUUCACCUUUAUAGUCAAUUGAUUUUUGAAAAGGAUGCAUGACAAUUUAAGGGGGAAAGGAAGUCUUUUCAGCAAGUGACAUUGGAACAAAUGGAUAUCCACAUGCAAAAGGCUUAAACUGCAUAAGCACAAAAUUUAUGUAUAUAUACAUUUAAAAAAUAAUGGAUCAAAGACUUAAAUGUAUGAGCUAAAACUAUAAACUCUUGGAGGAAAACAUAGGCAUAAAUCUUUGUGGCGUUGCCAUUAGGCAACUGUUUCUUAGAUAUGACACCAAAGCACAAGCAACAGAAGAAAAAAAUAGAUGAACUGGACACCAGGACAAUUAAAAACAUCUGUGCUUCAAAGGACACUAUCAAAAGAGUGAAUCCAUAGAAUGAGAAAACAUUUGCAAUGCAUGUAUCUGAUAUGGGACUUAUAUCUAGAAUAUGUAAAAAAUGACAACUAAAGGACAACUAGCACAAUUAAAAAUGGGUAAAUGACCUGAAUAGACACUUAGAAAGGUACAGCUGCUUGGGAAAGAGAUUGACAGUUCCUCAAAAGGUUAAACAUAGUUACCAUAUGACCCAGAAAUUUUACUUCUAGGUAUGAACACAAGGCAAAUAAAAACAUGCUACAUAAAAACCUGUAUAUGAAUAUUCCUAACAGUCAUUUAUAUUAGUCAAAAAGUGGAUACAACCAAAGGGCUAUCAACUGAUGAAUAGAUAAAUAAAACCUGGUAUAUCCAUACAACGAAAUAUCAUUCAGCAAUAAAAAGACAUGAACAAAUAAUACUUCUUAAAAAAAUGAAGUACUCCUACAUGCUAGAAGAAUAAAUUUUGAAAACAUUAUGCUAAGUGAUAGAAGCCAAUCAUGAAAACUUACAUAUUUUAUGAUUCCAUUUAUAGGAAAGGUCCAGAAUAGCCAAAUUCAUAGCCAGAAGGCUUGCCUAAGGCUGGAGGAUUGGGGUGGGGGAUGAGGAAUGACUGCCAGCGGGUAUGGAAGUGGCAGAGGAGGGUGAUGAAAACAAUGUUCUAAAAUCGACAGUGGUGACAGCUGCGUGUCUCUGUGGCUGUAUCCCCAAACCACUGUACUGCACUCUUUAAAUGGGUGAAUGGUAUGGUGUAGGGAGUAUAUCUCAAUAUAGACGUUAUUAAAAAAAAAAAAAAAGAGAAAGAUAAAUCAAUUGAAAUCAGAAAUUAAACCCAGAAGUGACCAGGAAUAAAGUACAUUCCUGGAACUUUCAGAAUACAGAUGGUGGAGGUGGGACUCUAGAUUUAUUGCAGAACAUAAAAGUUUAAAAAANNNNNNNNNNNNNNNNNNNNNNCGGAAGAGCUACACCCACAGACAUUAGGAUCACCACUAUUGUUGGUGAGCAUAUGGAACUGACACUCCCAUGCCCUAUUGAUUUAUGGCUAAAUUGGUGCAGUGUGUCUAAAUUUCAAACAUUCAUACUCUUUAAUGAAGCAAAUCCACUCCAAAGGAUGACUACAUAAAGACGUUUGUCAAAGUUUUUGUAAUACUGAAAACUAGAAAUACUCCAUGUCCAUCUACAAGUAAAGCUUCUCAACCUUAGCCAACUCAGUCCUCCUCCUUGAAAUAAAUAUUUUAUAACACUCCCUUUAAAUCCUGAAAUGAAAGCCAUAGACUUCUACAACAAAAUAUACCUAAAAAUAUUAUAAAAGAGAAAUAAAAGGAAAGUAAUUUGUAAUAAAGUAAUAGGCAUUUCAAUUUGUAAAUACUCUAGACACAAAACAUACUCUAGAGGGCAGUACCACCCAGUUAACUCAUUACAGCAAACUGGUUAAAUAAUUCAAGAUAGAGCCAAACACAUGAAUGAUGUAGAUCCAGAUUCACUGACAAAGUGUCGAAUCAGAAAUCAGAUUGUACAAUUUGUUAUUGGCACAGGAAUAGACAAUAGAUAAACCAAGGAACAGAACAGAGUCCAAGAGUAAAUUCAAAUGUAUUCGGAAAAUUUUUUUUUUUUGGUCUUUUCCAGGGCCACACCUGUGGCAUAUGGAGGUUCCCAGGCUAGGGGUCUAAUCAGGGCUAUAGCCGCCAGCCUAAGCCAGAGCCACAUCAACGCCAGAUCCGAGCCAUGUCUGCAACCCACACCCUCAUGGUUCUUAGUCGGAUUCAUUAACCACAGAGCCAUGAAGGGAACUCCAAAUUUUUUCGGGCCACCCCCGUGGCAUAUGGAGGGUGGAAUAGGAGCUACAACUGCCAACCUACGCCACAGCCACAGCAAAGCCAGAUCCAAGUUGAGUCUGCAACCUACACCAC
RNAcentral lists this long non-coding RNA (3978 nucleotides) under Sus scrofa (pig). RNAcentral's name for it is "lncRNA (ENSSSCG00005043681.1)". Lineage: Eukaryota; Metazoa; Chordata; Mammalia; Artiodactyla; Suidae. The record is from RNAcentral.